CCCAGCUUGCUGGGUGGAUUAGUGGCGAACGGGUGAGUAACACGUGAGUAACCUGCCCUUAACUCUGGGAUAAGCCUGGGAAACUGGGUCUAAUACCGGAUAGGAGCGUCCACCGCAUGGUGGGUGUUGGAAAGAUUUAUCGGUUUUGGAUGGACUCGCGGCCUAUCAGCUUGUUGGUGAGGUAAUGGCUCACCAAGGCGACGACGGGUAGCCGGCCUGAGAGGGUGACCGGCCACACUGGGACUGAGACACGGCCCAGACUCCUACGGGAGGCAGCAGUGGGGAAUAUUGCACAAUGGGCGCAAGCCUGAUGCAGCGACGCCGCGUGAGGGAUGACGGCCUUCGGGUUGUAAACCUCUUUCAGUAGGGAAGAAGCGAAAGUGACGGUACCUGCAGAAGAAGCACCGGCUAACUACGUGCCAGCAGCCGCGGUAAUACGUAGGGUGCGAGCGUUAUCCGGAAUUAUUGGGCGUAAAGAGCUCGUAGGCGGUUUGUCGCGUCUGUCGUGAAAGUCCGGGGCUUAACCCCGGAUCUGCGGUGGGUACGGGCAGACUAGAGUGCAGUAGGGGAGACUGGAAUUCCUGGUGUAGCGGUGGAAUGCGCAGAUAUCAGGAGGAACACCGAUGGCGAAGGCAGGUCUCUGGGCUGUAACUGACGCUGAGGAGCGAAAGCAUGGGGAGCGAACAGGAUUAGAUACCCUGGUAGUCCAUGCCGUAAACGUUGGGCACUAGGUGUGGGGACCAUUC
RNAcentral lists this ribosomal RNA (746 nucleotides) under Micrococcus luteus. RNAcentral describes it as "bacterial SSU rRNA". It matches the Rfam family "Bacterial small subunit ribosomal RNA", at positions 74 to 834 of the family's 1533-position model. Lineage: Bacteria; Bacillati; Actinomycetota; Actinomycetes; Micrococcales; Micrococcaceae. The record is from RNAcentral.